UCCCGGGUAGUUCAGUGGCAGAACGCUUGGCUUCAGACCGAGAGGGCGCAGGUUCAAUUCCUGCCCCGGGAC
Molecule: transfer RNA, 72 nt
Filed under: Massilia sp. Root351
Lineage: Bacteria; Pseudomonadati; Pseudomonadota; Betaproteobacteria; Burkholderiales; Oxalobacteraceae
Rfam family: tRNA
About the family: Transfer RNA (tRNA) molecules are approximately 80 nucleotides in length. Their secondary structure includes four short double-helical elements and three loops (D, anti-codon, and T loops). Further hydrogen bonds mediate the characteristic L-shaped molecular structure. tRNAs have two regions of fundamental functional importance: the anti-codon, which is responsible for specific mRNA codon recognition, and the 3' end, to which the tRNAs corresponding amino acid is attached (by aminoacyl-tRNA synthetases). tRNAs cope with the degeneracy of the genetic code in two manners: having more than one tRNA (with a specific anti-codon) for a particular amino acid; and 'wobble' base-pairing, i.e. permitting non-standard base-pairing at the 3rd anti-codon position.
Source: Rfam by way of RNAcentral